GACGAACGCUGGCGGCGUGCCUAAUACAUGCAAGUAGAACGCUGAAGCUUGGUGCUUGCACCGAGCGGAUGAGUUGCGAACGGGUGAGUAACGCGUAGGUAACCUGCCUGGUAGCGGGGGAUAACUAUUGGAAACGAUAGCUAAUACCGCAUAGCAGUAGAUAUCGCAUGAUAGCUACUUGAAAGGUGCAAAUGCACCACUACCAGAUGGACCUGCGUUGUAUUAGCUAGUUGGUGAGGUAACGGCUCACCAAGGCAACGAUACAUAGCCGACCUGAGAGGGUGAUCGGCCACACUGGGACUGAGACACGGCCCAGACUCCUACGGGAGGCAGCAGUAGGGAAUCUUCGGCAAUGGACGGAAGUCUGACCGAGCAACGCCGCGUGAGUGAAGAAGGUUUUCGGAUCGUAAAGCUCUGUUGUAAGAGAAGAACGAGUGUGAGAGUGGAAAGUUCACACUGUGACGGUAUCUUACCAGAAAGGGACGGCUAACUACGUG
Molecule: ribosomal RNA, 497 nt
Filed under: uncultured bacterium
Lineage: Bacteria
Description: partial 16S ribosomal RNA
Rfam family: Bacterial small subunit ribosomal RNA
Source: RNAcentral